UGGUAUGUCACCUUACUGAGAAUUUUCAUUUCCUUAUCCUUUCAGAUGGUGCUGCAGAGUAGUCCUCUUAUGCAUUAUGCAGUAUCCAAGCAUGAGUUAGCAGAAAUUAAAAAUGGAAACCAUACUACAGUUGGAGUUCAGAAGCCGCCACUGAACAGGCACCUGAAAACCUAAAAUGAAUUUAUUAUUUCAGUUGUAGAUUGCAAUUAUGUUUUUCUAAUCUGAGAGGAAAAAAAAAUUCUCCUUCAUGACAGGUACUGGUGUUAGUACUGAUGUUUGGACUUGCUAUGCCGCUAGGAUAAUGGCUAUCUCUGUCAUCCCAUUUGUUGUUGUUCAACUACCACAGAUGCUCAAUUC
Molecule: long non-coding RNA, 357 nt
Filed under: Citrus maxima (pomelo)
Lineage: Eukaryota; Viridiplantae; Streptophyta; Magnoliopsida; Sapindales; Rutaceae
Description: long non-coding RNA (CMAX_LNC001839)
Source: RNAcentral